This 818-nucleotide ribosomal RNA is filed under the name Bacillus cereus. Its description in RNAcentral is "bacterial SSU rRNA". It matches the Rfam family "Bacterial small subunit ribosomal RNA", at positions 77 to 890 of the family's 1533-position model. The record is from RNAcentral. Lineage: Bacteria; Bacillati; Bacillota; Bacilli; Caryophanales; Bacillaceae.
AGCUUGCUCUUAUGAAGUUAGCGGCGGACGGGUGAGUAACACGUGGGUAACCUGCCCAUAAGACUGGGAUAACUCCGGGAAACCGGGGCUAAUACCGGAUAAAUUUUGAACGCAUGGUUCGAAAUUGAAAGGCGGCUUCGGCUGUCACUUAUGGAUGGACCCGCGUCGCAUUAGCUAGUUGGUGAGGUAACGGCUCACCAAGGCAACGAUGCGUAGCCGACCUGAGAGGGUGAUCGGCCACACUGGGACUGAGACACGGCCCAGACUCCUACGGGAGGCAGCAGUAGGGAAUCUUCCGCAAUGGACGAAAGUCUGACGGAGCAACGCCGCGUGAGUGAUGAAGGCUUUCGGGUCGUAAAACUCUGUUGUUAGGGAAGAACAAGUGCUAGUUGAAUAAGCUGGCACCUUGACGGUACCUAACCAGAAAGCCACGGCUAACUACGUGCCAGCAGCCGCGGUAAUACGUAGGUGGCAAGCGUUAUCCGGAAUUAUUGGGCGUAAAGCGCGCGCAGGUGGUUUCUUAAGUCUGAUGUGAAAGCCCACGGCUCAACCGUGGAGGGUCAUUGGAAACUGGGAGACUUGAGUGCAGAAGAGGAAAGUGGAAUUCCAUGUGUAGCGGUGAAAUGCGUAGAGAUAUGGAGGAACACCAGUGGCGAAGCGACUUUCUGGUCUGUAACUGACACUGAGCGCGAAAGCGUGGGGAGCAAACAGGUAGAUACCCGGUAGUCCACGCCGUAAACGAUGAUGCUAAGUGUUAGAGGGUUUCCGCCCUUUAUGCUGAAGUUAACGCAUUACACUCCCCGGGGAGUACGGCCGCA